Molecule: long non-coding RNA, 209 nt
Filed under: Medicago truncatula (barrel medic)
Lineage: Eukaryota; Viridiplantae; Streptophyta; Magnoliopsida; Fabales; Fabaceae
Description: long non-coding RNA (MTRU_LNC003076)
Source: RNAcentral
UACAAGGAUUUUCCUUUCUUUCUUGCUAUAGCCCUUUAGAUGAAGAGUUCAGAGGAACUCCAAGAGACAGCCAACAAAAAAUAUUCCUCACACUAAUUGACUUGGAUCGAUACACAAAUGCACAACAAAAUGUGCUAUUUAUUGUGGAGAAUUUUAUGCUCUUGGAACAAUUUAAAGGUGGUUUGUAAUGUUGACAUGUAUAUAUGGAG